CCGCUAUGAUCACUGAAGUUAAGCAACCUCCAGCCUGGUCAGUAUCUAGAUGGGUGACCACUUGGGAAUAGCAAGUGCUGUAAG
Molecule: non-coding RNA, 84 nt
Organism: Acanthosepion pharaonis
Lineage: Eukaryota; Metazoa; Mollusca; Cephalopoda; Sepiida; Sepiidae
Source: the annotation of a GenBank genome assembly